CUUUCGCUGUGGCCUGAGCGUGAUCCACGUCGGUUAAUUUCACAGUUUUUUUCAACUGGCCGUUUCUCAUUUUUGUCGUCUACGGCAUCGCACAUAAUCACGUCGCUAAUCGUCCGUCGACUAUAUCACCUCUCUCUGCGACAUCAGCCGUGUUUGUUUAGUGUUGACGUGUCGCACGGUUUGUCAGUCGGCAGAAUGGGAACCACUGGAAAUUGGACCUUGUGAACGUUCAGGUGUAACAACGUUCCCUUUCACCGCCGGCUCGACGACACGUAGACAACAACAACUGUCGCCGCCGCCGCCCGCUGCCGUCUCCCCUCCGCGCAACGCCUGACUCGGAACGCCGACUGACGACGUACAAUAAUUGAACGUGUACUGCGUAGCAGCAUCGUAUGGCGUCGGUGCACUGCGGACCGGUCGGCCAUUUAUCUCGAAACUUCACUUCUUCCUCGUCGGUACCUGCUGCUCUGCUGUGUGCGCACUGUGUUCGUCUCGUCGCCUCCAAAAGCCGACGGUGAUAGUUUUCCGUUCUGUACGCCAUCGGCCGUCAUUACAUGGACAGGUAUCAUUCCGACAGCGAGAACUUGUGUAUUCGGUACCGGUAAUUGCAGAAUUUCAGUCUUGCCAUGAAAGCCUGACCUACGAACACUGACCACAUCCAGAUCAACGUCAAUGGUUGUUCGUCGUGCAGAGUAUCCGGAACUGUUACAUUGUUACUGGUUUGCAUGUUACUAUUAAAAAUAGUUUUAUCGUUUUUCAUCAUAUUUGACAUGAGCUGAUUAUUUCUCAUGUACAAAAUAGGUACGUACUAACCAACAGUAUGACAAUCUUCCGCUAUGCACAUAGAAAUGUAUCAAAGAAACACAGUAGAGGGGCCCACAUAAGAGGUUCAUUGUUUUGAAGGAUUAAAAUGUUUCUGUGAUAACAUUAAAAUUGAAAUAUUUAUCACUAGAUUGUGUAUUAUUUUCUGAAUUCAGAGACAUUAAAAUGUAAUUUUUUGGUUUAUUUCACAUAAGAGGCUAUUAGCUUUGCCCUGAGCAACAUCAUGUUAAAUUUAAUGCAUUUGCUGGAAUUAAAAACCAAAUAACUUCAUUUUGACGAGAAAUUCAAUAUGGUUAUGGAUCAAUGGAAUAAUAGAAAAUAUUUAAAUUCCUUAGAUGAAAAUAAAAUCAUAUUAUUAUUAAAAUACCUAUUCAAGAAACCAAUACAUUUUUUACUUUGUGGCUAUUUACUUGUUUUAUUUUCUUUAAACGUAUACAGCUGUAAGCAUGGUAGGUACAUUAGUAAUGAAAUUAUUUUGUCAUUGUCAUAUAAAACUUAUAGAUAGCCAAUUCCUAACAAGUUUUAAAAUAUUUGGGACAUCUGAAAUUUAUACUUGUAGCCAUAUUAUGCCAAUUAUUUCUAAGAUUAUACAUUGAGUCAACCACAGUUAUUUUCUAUAAAUCUUUUGAAUAUGGUGAAGUUUAGUUAACUUUUUAAUUUGGCCAUUUAAAGAAAAAAUGCAUGGUUAAUAUAAUUUUCCAUAUGUUAUGAGUUUAUUUCUGCAGUCGAAUAGUAAAUUAAAUAUUUAAAAUUGUUUAAUUCACUUUAAAAAUUGAAAACUUUUUUUAUCCAUAUGAUUGAGUAAUAAAAUGAUAUAAACUGUGUACAUAAACAACAAAUGUAUAUAUUUUUUUAAGAAAUAUGCCAUAUAAAUACAAUUAGGUAAUAUCUUAGUGUAAAUUUUCAUAACAACACAAGUAGUCAAUAAUUUACAAGAUCUAACACCAAAUAAUAAAGUUGAACAGCAAAUGAAAAAAUUAUAAAAACGUAAAAAAUAAAUAUUAAAAUACCUAGUACUAAACCCUAAGUAUUUGUUAUUUAUUUAUUUAAGUCUUAGUUGGUCCUCUGUCCAACUUUGAUACUGUUUUGUACAUUAACGUCCUUUACAUUGAAAAAUAAACAAAGAACUCUUGUUAGGUAUAUUUGGAUUAAUUAUAUUUAUUCUUGCUUCAGAAAAUAUACGUUUAAUAGACACAAAAAGUUUGACUGGUUACAAUUUGACUUCUUAAAAUAAUAAU
RNAcentral lists this long non-coding RNA (2060 nucleotides) under Acyrthosiphon pisum (pea aphid). RNAcentral describes it as "uncharacterized LOC115034487, transcript variant X2". The record is from RNAcentral. Lineage: Eukaryota; Metazoa; Arthropoda; Insecta; Hemiptera; Aphididae.